This 349-nucleotide ribosomal RNA is filed under the name uncultured bacterium. RNAcentral describes it as "partial 16S ribosomal RNA". It matches the Rfam family "Bacterial small subunit ribosomal RNA", at positions 338 to 698 of the family's 1533-position model. The record is from RNAcentral.
CCUACGGGUGGCAGCAGUCGAGAAUCAUUCACAAUGGGGGAAACCCUGAUGGUGCGACGCCGCGUGGGGGAAUGAAGGUCUUCGGAUUGUAAACCCCUGUCAUGUGGGAGCAAAUUAAAAAGAUAGUACCACAAGAGGAAGAGACGGCUAACUCUGUGCCAGCAGCCGCGGUAAUACAGAGGUCUCAAGCGUUAUUCGGAAUCACUGGGCGUAAAGCAUGCGUAGGCUGUUUCGUAAGUCGUGUGUGAAAGGCGCGGGUUCAACUCGCGGACGGCAUAUGAUACUGUGAGACUAGAGUAAUGGUGGGGGAAGCGGAAUGUACGGUGUAGCAGUGAAAUGCGUAGAUAUC